Long non-coding RNA from Papaver somniferum (opium poppy), 4575 nucleotides. RefSeq lists it as uncharacterized. The transcript has 4 exons. The record is from RefSeq and is a predicted model, not a curated record. NCBI's taxonomy places the organism in Eukaryota, Viridiplantae, Streptophyta, Magnoliopsida, Ranunculales, Papaveraceae.
GAAUGCAAACAAAACACCCCUUCUUGUUCUUCUCGGUUCUUCCACCCUAUACUUCUUCUUCUCUCAUAUAAUUUCUUCCACUGAUUUCAUUUCAAAAUGAUCUCAAGCAAAGGAAAGAUUUGUGGCUUUUAAAUCCGAAGUGGAGAUUCCAUCAUGGGCUAAUUUUUUUUUCUUACACAAAGGUAGGGGGUUCUUUCUUUUACUUCCUUCUCUUUUUUUUGAACUGAACUAUGAAUUUUGUUUGUGUUAAUCAGUCUUUUGGCAAAUGUUCAAUUAAAUUUUGUUUGUUGAAUGCGAUUUCAUUUGGGUUACAUAAAUAUUGAUUUUUUUCUUUUACUUUGCAUGUGUGCAUAUUUCUACUACUUGAUUGAAGAGAUUUGUUUUAUAAAUUCCCUUCAAAUAUGUUUUAGAAUAUGUGAUUCUGAUUUUUGUUAAAUUGAUUUUAUGAAGACUAAACCUAUUAGGCAUCUAUGUUCAUUUUCUAUCCAAAAUUAGGAGUUUGAAUUGAGUUUCUAAACUAGCCCAUUGGCUGUUUGUGAAAAUGACUAAAUGAAUAUUAUUUCAUUUUAGUAUCAUGCAUGAUACCAUGUUUUGAUCUACAUAUACACGACAGUAACCAUGAUUUUGUAUCUAUUUUUCUUUCUUCCUAAACCACCGUUUCGGUUAAAUAAAUCACCCUAUGGAUUUGUUUGAACGUGAUACCAUUUUGGUUAUGCCUUCUCAAGUUUUACUUUUGAUAUCUCUUUUGACUUAUACAUUUCCUUCUUAUACUUUUCCCCUUUUACUCAUUUGUUUUCUCAAACAUCAAAUGUUAAAAGAAAAUGACAGCACUGUGUCAUGCAUGUGAACUAUUUACCUCCGAUUUAUGGUUUACUAACUAAUCCUUUUUUUUUUUCCCAAUUUGUAUCUAAUGUUACUGUCCACUCAUGCAUAUACUAGUUACUUACGUUUUAAUCUCUUCCUCUCUUGAUUUAAAUAUGUUAAAUUAUUGAACUUAAGGAUUUUUAUGUAAAGGAAUUGAAAAUGUACAAAUUGCCUUAUUUUACUGUUGCUUAGAUGCUUGGUUUGCUAUCAGCUACGAUGUUGUUGUUUGUUUUCACAGCUCCAUUAAUUGUAUCACUUAUGUUUUCUCUCUCUCUUUUCGGAUGAAUUAUGUGCAUGAUUUACUCUGUAUUAUGGAUUUGGUUUGGCUUAAAUUCCCUUGGUGUACAGACUGUAUUUAAAGUUUGGUAUUUUACUUGGCGCCGACUUUUGGUAAGUUGUGCCCUCGUUGCUCUUGAAUCUUGAGAAGUGGUUCCCGUUUCGGAAAUUCAUUUGAGAUUUGCUGCCAGUAAGAACCAGAAAGCUAUACCUUAGGAACGUCGGGCCUAAGCGACACUCCACCACCUCGGUGGCAACCCGGAAGAUCGUUACGACAACGAUGGCUGGUACCCAGAACUACCCUGACGGUGGCACUGGCCAUGAGAAUAAUAGAGUAAAUGUUAUUUGCGGCUCUGAAUUUUUUUGUGAUCUACAUUUGCUUAAGAUUUACAUUUCUGCAUUUUUAUUUAACUGCUUCUCUUGUCUAUUUAUUCAUGUUCGGCGCUCGCACUGCGUUUUUUUGUUAUACCCUCUACUGGGCAUUCGCUCACCCCGUUUUGUUUUGUUUUUCCCCCCUCAGAGUACGAAGAGAAGUUGGAGCAGUAAGCCGGGCAGAGCUUACGGGAAUCUUUUAGCGCCAUGAGAGUUAGUAUUUUGUAAGUCUAUGAUAUUGUAUAUCACAGGGGUAUCUGGGUAGUUAGUUUUUGCUUUAGUUUCAUGUCGCUUUGUCGAAUUUUUUGCUGUGUAGAUGUUGGGACCUUGUGUUGGAUCCUUAUAUGGUUUGUAACUGAAAAAUAAGGUCUGAUUUUGCGUGUAUAUAUACAGCAUACAGAACCUUCUUUUCUCUUUGGUAUAUGGGCAUAUCUUCAUUUACAUAAUAGUAACUUCUUAGAACUCAUUUUAGUUGAACCUUAAUAUACUAGCAGGUCCCCCUUUGCAUAUUUCUAUCUAUUUGGAGCACCAUUCAUGUAUGCUUAAUUUUUUAGUAGUUAGAUGAACAUAAAUGAUGGUGGGAAAUGUUGUGUAUUUACUGUCAUUUUAAGAAAAUGGUGUAUUUGGAUUUCACUGUGUAAACAUUAUGUUUUCCAUGAUUCAUUUUGGGUUCAUACUUGUGCACAUGUUCCUUUAUAAAUUUUAUAUGUUUUAAAUUAGUACUACUACCCACUUGGAAUUUCUUUACUGGCAGGUCUUAUUUUACAUACCACUAUCUGUAACUUUUCUUUUGUUGUCAAAUUUAUCGGCAAAUGUAGGUCAUGUAGUAUAGAACAUUUUGUCUUUAAACUACGGUGUACUUUAGUGUACUGUGCACAUAUACACUGCCUUAGAGUCAUUUGGGUCUUUUUUUAAAACUUUAAACUAAGUUAUUAAGUUCAUUUUCUUUAUGAAUUUCAUCUAGUUAGUUAAGAACUGCGUUUUAUCCUAAAGUAAAGUUAUGGAAUGAAUGAUUUUCUUUACAUUUCAUUUCGUGAUCAAAAACUGAUUUUUGUAAAAUGUCUAAUAAGAUGGUAUAUAUAUGUGUUUUCGAUCCAUCUUUGGUAGUACCCACAAUAUUAAAACAUUGUAAGGAUAUUUUUCAGUUCUUUCACGUUGUUGGAGCUGCAACCAUUGUACUUUCAUCUCUUGUUUCUAUUUUUGCUUCUUGGCCUUGAAAAUUUUAUUGUUGUUGAGUGUAUAAAAUGAAUGAAUAGUAAUACAUUUCAUCUUUAUGCUAUUUUCCUUUUUCUUUUCUUUUUCGAGUGACGGACAUGGGGGUUUGGCCUUGAUGGGCGGGUUGAAAUCCAACCCGUUGGAAGGACAAAUUUACCUGUCCGUUACAGUUUGGUAUCAGAGCAGUCCCAAUUCAUUUGGGACUGUGAGUCUUGUACUUAGUUAUUUUUCGGUGCCGUGUACUUGAUUUUAAGACGUAAACAAAUUGUUUUGACUUGUAUCGUCCAAUGGUUCCAUUUCGGUUUUGAUAAAUGGAGGGUUGUUUUCGGUUUUUUCGAAUUGCUUUGGGGCUGGGGAAAACUAUCAAGAUACCGUGAUAUACAUAUCUUUUUUUGUGUUAGUAAUGUACAUUACUAACCAGUUGUGAAUCUAACGCAUUUUCUGUUUUGAAGAUAUCUUGGUGUGCGAAAUCUGUUGACUCGAGCUUUGCACGUAAGAAGAACCUGAACAAACCUUGAGAACAAUUUAGAACAACAGGUAGGUUCGAUUGUGACUGACAUUUAUGUUUUAGAGACUGUGGGAAGUCGAGUGCCGACGAAGAAUCUAAGAAUUCUCUGGGAAUUAGGGAAGUUAGGGAAUAUGAGUGGAUAUCGGUGAAUCAGACUACAAUGUAUUGUACUGAGAAGAGGGUCUAUUUAUGACAGCGUAUGGAAACUGUGUAUUCGUCAAGGUGAGAAAUAGGAAGUGAUAAGCCCUUCGAUUCGAGGAACGAGAAGACGAGACGAAUCUGUAGAACGCAUCAUUUUUUUUUGCUCAUCUUAGUAAGGCGACAAAAUUAUGGGUACGGCAGAAGGCGUUUUAGCGGUUAGAUUUUGUUAAUCAUUUUUCAGAAACUUUGCAUGGGUUACAAUCGAAGAGAGAGGUCUGCCUUGUGAUUGAAGUAUGUUGCAGACUCAUCACAUAGAGAGACCUGCAACUGUAUGACGACGUACCUUACGUGGGAAACCCUCGCAAUGAUGAAAGUAGUAUGGAGACAUCCCCCUUUUGAAGACGCAACUUGGGAGUCAAGCCUGACGUGCAAAACAACUACCCGAAGCUACUUCUAGCAAAGGAAAGAUUUGUGGCUUUUAAAUCUGAAGUGGAGAUUCCAUCAUGGGCUAAAUUUUUUUUCUUACACAAAGGUUCUGCCCUCGUUUCUCUUGACUCUUGAGAAGUGGUUCCCGUUUCGGAAAUUCAUUUGAGAUUUGCUUCCAGUAACAACUGGAAAGCUCUACUUUAGAAACGUCGGGCCUAAGUGGAACCCCACCACCUCGGUGGCAACCCGGAAGAUCGUUGCGGCAACGAUGGCUGGUAACCAGAACUACCCUGACGGUGGCACUGGCCAUGAGAAUAGUAAAAAUACAAAGAGAAGUUGGAGCAGUAAGUCGAGCAGAACUUACGAGAUCUAUGAUAUUGUAUAUCACAGGGAUAUUUGGGUAGUUAGUUUUUGCUUUAGUCUCAUGUCGCUUUGUCAAAUUUUUUGCUGUGCAGAUGUUGGGACCUUGUGUUGGAUCCUUAUAUGGUUUGUAACUGAAAAAUAAGGUCUGAUUUUGCGUGUAUAUGUACGGCACACAAAACCUUCUUUUCUCUCGUUGGUAUAUGGGCAUAUCUUCAUUUACAUACUAGUAUCUUCUUAGAACUCAUAAUAGUUGAACCUUAAUGUACUAGCAGGUCCCCCUUGCAUAUUUCUAUCUAUUUGCAGCACCACUCAUGUAUGCUUAAUUUUUGAGUAGUUAGAUGAACAUAAAUGAUGAUGGGAAAUGUUGUGUAUUGACUGUCAUUUUAAGUAAAUGGUGUACUUGGACUUCA